RNAcentral lists this ribosomal RNA (921 nucleotides) under uncultured Bacteroidota bacterium. RNAcentral describes it as "bacterial SSU rRNA". It matches the Rfam family "Bacterial small subunit ribosomal RNA", at positions 1 to 917 of the family's 1533-position model. The record is from RNAcentral. Lineage: Bacteria; Pseudomonadati; Bacteroidota.
UCAGACUUUGAUUAUGGCUCAGGAUGAACGCUAGCUACAGGCUUAACACAUGCAAGUCGAGGGGAAACGAUAUUGGAAGCUUGCUUCCGAUAGGCGUCGACCGGCGCACGGGUGAGUAACGCGUAUCCAACCUGCCCAUCACUUGGGGAUAACCUUGCGAAAGUAAGACUAAUGCCCAAUGACAUUUAUAGAAGGCAUCGGAAAUGAAUUAAAGAUUUAUCGGUGAUGGAUGGGGAUGCGUCUGAUUAGCUUGUUGGCGGGGUAACGGCCCACCAAGGCGACGAUCAGUAGGGGUUCUGAGAGGAAGGUCCCCCACAUUGGAACUGAGACACGGUCCAAACUCCUACGGGAGGCAGCAGUGAGGAAUAUUGGUCAAUGGGCGAGAGCCUGAACCAGCCAAGUAGCGUGCAGGAUGACGGCCCUAUGGGUUGUAAACUGCUUUUAUAGGGGAAUAAAGUGAGCCACGUGUGGUUUUUUGCAUGUACCCUAUGAAUAAGGACCGGCUAAUUCCGUGCCAGCAGCCGCGGUAAUACGGAAGGUCCGGGCGUUAUCCGGAUUUAUUGGGUUUAAAGGGAGCGUAGGCCGGAGAUUAAGCGUGUUGUGAAAUGUAGAUGCUCAACAUCUGAACUGCAGCGCGAACUGGUUUCCUUGAGUACGCAUAAAGUGGGCGGAAUUCGUGGUGUAGCGGUGAAAUGCUUAGAUAUCACGAAGAACUCCGAUUGCGAAGGCAGCUCACUGGGGCGCAACUGACGCUGAAGCUCGAAAGCGCGGGUAUCGAACAGGAUUAGAUACCCUGGUAGUCCGCGCGGUAAACGAUGGAUGCCCGCUGUUGGGCCAACUGGUUCAGCGGCCAAGCGAAAGCAUUAAGCAUCCCAUCUGGGGAGUACGCCGGCAACGGUGCAACUCAAAUGAAUUGACGGA